UACGUAGGCAGCGAGCGUUGUUCGGAGUUACUGGGCGUAAAGCGUGCGUAGGCGGUCUUGUACGUCUGGUGUGAAAUCUCCCGGCUCAACUGGGAGGGUGCGCCGGAAACUGCAAGGCUGGAGUAUGGGAGAGGUAGGCGGAAUUCCUGGUGUAGCGGUGAAAUGCGUAGAUAUCAGGAGGAACACCUGUGGUGUAGACGGCUUACUGGACCAUGACUGACGCUGAGGCACGAAAGCGUGGGGAGCAAACAGG
RNAcentral lists this ribosomal RNA (253 nucleotides) under uncultured bacterium. RNAcentral's name for it is "partial 16S ribosomal RNA". It matches the Rfam family "Bacterial small subunit ribosomal RNA", at positions 524 to 776 of the family's 1533-position model. The record is from RNAcentral.